Molecule: ribosomal RNA, 253 nt
Filed under: uncultured bacterium
Lineage: Bacteria
Description: partial 16S ribosomal RNA
Rfam family: Bacterial small subunit ribosomal RNA
Source: RNAcentral
UACGGAGGGUGCGAGCGUUAUCCGGAUUUACUGGGUUUAAAGGGUGUGUAGGCGGAACAUUAAGUCAGUGGUGAAAUCUCUGGGCUCAACCUGGAAACUGCCAUUGAUACUAUUGUUCUUGAAUACUGUGGAGGUGAGCGGAAUGUGUCAUGUAGCGGUGAAAUGCAUAGAGAUGACACAGAACACCGAUUGCGAAGGCAGCUCACUACGCAGUGAUUGACGCUGAGGCACGAAAGCGUGGGGAUCAAACAGG